Molecule: transfer RNA, 84 nt
Filed under: Patescibacteria group bacterium
Lineage: Bacteria
Description: tRNA-Ser
Rfam family: tRNA
About the family: Transfer RNA (tRNA) molecules are approximately 80 nucleotides in length. Their secondary structure includes four short double-helical elements and three loops (D, anti-codon, and T loops).
Source: RNAcentral
AGGAGUGUCUGAGUGGUUUAAGGUGGUAGUUUGCUAAACUGCUGUGCUUAAAAUGCACCAUAGGUUCGAAUCCUAUCUCCUCCG